RNAcentral lists this ribosomal RNA (466 nucleotides) under uncultured Streptococcus sp. RNAcentral describes it as "bacterial SSU rRNA". It matches the Rfam family "Bacterial small subunit ribosomal RNA", at positions 916 to 1381 of the family's 1533-position model. The record is from RNAcentral. Lineage: Bacteria; Bacillati; Bacillota; Bacilli; Lactobacillales; Streptococcaceae.
ACGGGGCCCGCACAAGCGGUGGAGCAUGUGGUUAAUUCGAUGAUACGCGAAGAACCUUACCGGGGUUUGACAUGCAGGUGAUCGCCGUUGAAAGACGGUUUCCUCUUCGGAGGCACCUGCACAGGUGCUGCAUGGCUGUCGUCAGCUCGUGUCGUGAGAUGUUGGGUUAAGUCCCGCAACGAGCGCAACCCUUGUCAUUAGUUGCCAUCAUUUAGUUGGGCACUCUAAUGAGACUGCCGGUGACAAACCGGAGGAAGUGGGGAUGACGUCAAGUCCUCAUGGCCCUUAUGACCUGGGCUACACACGUGCUACAAUGGUUGGUACAACGAGUUGCGAGUCGGUGACGGCGAGCUAAUCUCUUAAAGCCAAUCUCAGUUCGGAUUGUAGGCUGCAACUCGCCUACAUGAAGUCGGAAUCGCUAGUAAUCGCGGAUCAGCACGCCGCGGUGAAUACGUUCCCGGGCCUU